GACGUAGGGCGCGAGCGUUGUCCGGAUUUAUUGGGCGUAAAGAGCUCGUAGGCGGCUUGUCGCGUCGUUCGUGAAAACCUGCAGCUCAACUGCAGGCUUGCGGUCGAUACGGGCAGGCUAGAGUUCGGUAGGGGAGACUGGAAUUCCUGGUGUAGCGGUGAAAUGCGCAGAUAUCAGGAGGAACACCAAUAGCGAAGGCAGCUCGCUGGGACGGUACUGACGCUAAGGCGCGAAAGCGUGGGGAGCGAACAGG
This 253-nucleotide ribosomal RNA is filed under the name uncultured bacterium. RNAcentral's name for it is "partial 16S ribosomal RNA". It matches the Rfam family "Bacterial small subunit ribosomal RNA", at positions 524 to 776 of the family's 1533-position model. The record is from RNAcentral.